Molecule: transfer RNA, 82 nt
Filed under: Puccinia sorghi
Lineage: Eukaryota; Fungi; Basidiomycota; Pucciniomycetes; Pucciniales; Pucciniaceae
Rfam family: tRNA
About the family: Transfer RNA (tRNA) molecules are approximately 80 nucleotides in length. Their secondary structure includes four short double-helical elements and three loops (D, anti-codon, and T loops).
Source: Rfam by way of RNAcentral
GACUCCAUGGCGCAAUGGUAGCGCGUUCGACUCCAGAUUGGUGUUUAUCGAAAGGUUGCGUGUUCAAGUCACGUUGGGGUCA